UGCCAGCAGCCGCGGUAAUACUGAAGGUGCAAGCGUUAAUCGGAAUCACUGGGCGUAAAGCGCUCGUAGGUGGCUUUGUAAGUCAGAUGUGAAAGCCCACGGCUCAACCGUGGAAUUGCAUUUGAUACUGCAUCGCUAGAGUAUAGGAGAGGGAAGUGGAAUUUCUGGUGUAGGAGUGAAAUCCGUAGAAAUCAGAAGGAACACCGGUGGCGAAGGCGACUUCCUGGACUAUUACUGACACUGAGUAGCGAACGCUUUGGGCGCAAACAGUAUUCGAUA
Molecule: ribosomal RNA, 279 nt
Filed under: uncultured bacterium
Lineage: Bacteria
Description: partial 16S ribosomal RNA
Rfam family: Bacterial small subunit ribosomal RNA
Source: RNAcentral